UACAGAGGGGGCAAGCGUUGUUCGGAAUUACUGGGCGUAAAGCGCGUGUAGGUGGAUUGGUGUGUCAGAUGUGAAAGCCCUGGGCUCAACCCAGGAACUGCACCUGAAACUACCAGUCUUGAGUGGUGGAGAGGGAAGUGGAAUUCCUGGUGUAGAGGUGAAAUUCGUAGAUAUCAGGAGGAACACCAGUGGCGAAGGCGGCUUCCUGGACACUAACUGACGCUGAGACGCGAAAGCGUGGGGAGCAAACAGG
This 253-nucleotide ribosomal RNA is filed under the name uncultured bacterium. RNAcentral's name for it is "partial 16S ribosomal RNA". It matches the Rfam family "Bacterial small subunit ribosomal RNA", at positions 524 to 776 of the family's 1533-position model. The record is from RNAcentral.